GAUGAAGAACGCAGCGAAAUGCGAUACGUAAUGUGAAUUGCAGAAUUCAGUGAAUCAUAGAGUCUUUGAACGCACAUUGCGCCCCCUGGUAUUCCGGGGGGCAUGCCUGUCCGAGCGUCAUUGCUGCCCUCAAGCACGGCUUGUGUGUUGGGCCUCCGUCCUCCUCCCGGGGGACGGGCCCGAAAGGCAGCGGCGGCACCGCGUCCGGUCCUCGAGCGUAUGGGGCUUCGUCACCCGCUCUUGUAGGCCCGGCCGGCGCUUGCCGACACAUCAAUCUUUUUUCCAGGUUGACCUCGGAUCAGGUAGGGAUACCCGCUGAACUUAAGCAUAUCAAUAAGCGGAGGA
RNAcentral lists this unclassified non-coding RNA (345 nucleotides) under soil metagenome. RNAcentral describes it as "partial contains 5.8S ribosomal RNA, internal transcribed spacer 2, and large subunit ribosomal RNA". The stretch from base 1 to 120 matches the Rfam family "5.8S ribosomal RNA", at positions 35 to 154 of the family's 154-position model. The record is from RNAcentral.